Molecule: ribosomal RNA, 392 nt
Filed under: uncultured bacterium
Lineage: Bacteria
Description: bacterial SSU rRNA
Rfam family: Bacterial small subunit ribosomal RNA
Source: RNAcentral
UAGGGGAUAUUGCACAAUGGGCGGAAGCCUGAUGCAGCAACGCCGCGUGAGUGAUGAAGGCCCUCGGGUCGUAAAACUCUUUUCAAGAGGAAGAGGAAGGACGGUACUCUUGGAAUAAGCCACGGCUAACUACGUGCCAGCAGCCGCGGUAACACGUAGGAGGCGAGCGUUACUCGGAUUUACUGGGCGUAAAGCGCGUGUAGGCGGCUGAUCAAGUUGGAUGUGAAAGCUCCCGGCUUAACUGGGAGAGGACGUUCAAAACUGAAUAGUUGGAGAAUGGGAGAAGAAAAAGGAAUAAAGGGAGUAGUGAUGAAAUGCGUAGAUAACCAGAGGAACACCAGUGGCGAAAGCGGUUUUCUGGCUGAAGACUGACGCUCAGACACGAAAGCUAG